CUCAGCCAGGUGUCUGCAGCCAUCAGGUUCAUAGGAAGGCCUUCAGGCCAGGUUAGAGACAGGAAAACCCUAUGCUGAAGAGUAACCCCUACAUAGGGGCUUAGUGAGGGGUCUGCAUACAUAGAUAAGGCUGUGAGGAAGAGGACUGGCAGGACUAAAGAAGUUGACCUUGUAAUGAGACAAUUAAGAACACCGAGAGUCUGGCUUUAUUGGAAGCCUGCCAUGUAAAUAGUGCUGCUGCUCUUUCAACUUGCCCUUUCAGGCCCAGGAAGAUAACACCUUGAUGUUAUGAGUCCUUGAAUGUUGUACAAAUCCUCAUAUCUUCAUACACCUCAUAUCUUCAUAAAUUGCCCUUCUAUUAAAUUAUCUGUUAUAUCAAUUAUCUCGAUAUGAAUAUACCAUCCGUUUGCUGCUAGGACAUUACCAACACAGUGCUAUUCUGUUGAUGGCUCUGGGGAAGCCCCCUGGGACCCUGGCUCUCAGCAACCGGCUCUGGAGAUAGAGGAUGAGGUUUAAAUGGUGGAUCCCUGAAGGGAGGUGUGUGAGGAAGGCACAACAGCUGAUAACCUCCAUGAAGGCAAGGGCUGUGUUCUGAUCACCAUUGUUUCUCUAAAACCCAGUGCCUGACACCUGCCAGAUGCUCAACAGG
This is a long non-coding RNA of Prionailurus viverrinus (fishing cat), 649 nucleotides long. RefSeq lists it as uncharacterized. The transcript has 2 exons. The record is from RefSeq and is a predicted model, not a curated record. Lineage: Eukaryota; Metazoa; Chordata; Mammalia; Carnivora; Felidae.